CAGUGCUUAUGGCCUAGGUAAUGAAAAGCUGUUGUUCGAAAUGAGAGGUAUCCAGAUUCUUACAAGUAUUUUGUUAAGAGUUCCAUCGUCUUGGGAAAAAGGCCCCUGGGUGCUUUUAUAAGUGUUUUAUAUUUGCAGCAGUUUGGGGAAUAUUAGAUUUAUUUUUCAUUUCAAAUAUCCAAUGACAUUUUAUUGUUUGAGGCUUUGCUCUACAUCACAGCGGAACAAAAAGAAACUGCACUUUAAAGAGAUCUAUUCUUUAUUGUAAUAUUUGUAAUAAAACAUAAUUGCAUUUAACAUGGAAAUGUGACUUAACUGCCUUUUGUAAUAUAACUGAUAAUGUAAUUGUAAUGACUUAGUUGAACUCUUGUUUAUGCUACUUCCUUAUGAGUGCCAUGGAAAAAUAAUAGAGAACAUUUGCAAUAAACAUAUUUAUUUUGAAGGAAAACCAAAGGGAUGGUAAUUAGACUUA
RNAcentral lists this long non-coding RNA (472 nucleotides) under Bos taurus (domestic cattle). RNAcentral describes it as "long non-coding RNA NONBTAT007238". Lineage: Eukaryota; Metazoa; Chordata; Mammalia; Artiodactyla; Bovidae. The record is from RNAcentral.